Molecule: ribosomal RNA, 460 nt
Filed under: uncultured bacterium
Lineage: Bacteria
Description: partial 16S ribosomal RNA
Rfam family: Bacterial small subunit ribosomal RNA
Source: RNAcentral
CCUACGGGAGGCAGCAGUGAGGAAUAUUGGUCAAUGGACGAGAGUCUGAACCAGCCAAGUAGCGUGAAGGAUGACUGCCCUAUGGGUUGUAAACAUCUUUUAUAUGGGAAUAAAAUGUUCCACGUGUGGGAUUUUGUAUGUACCAUAUGAAUAAGGAUCGGCUAACGCCGUACCAGCAGACGCGGUAAUACGGAGGAUCCGGGCGUUAUCCGGAUUGAUUGGGUUUAAAGGGAGCGUAGGUGGAUUGUUAAGUCAGUUGUGAAAGUUUGCGGCUCAACCGUAAAAUUGCAUUUGAAACUGGCAGUCUUGAGUACAGUAGAGGUGGGCGGAAUUCGUGGUGUAGCGGUGAAAUGCUUAGAUAUCACGAAGAACUCCGAUUGCGAAGGCAGCUCCCUGGACUGCAACUGACACUGAGGCUCGAAAGUGUGGGUAUCAAACAGGAUUAGAUACCCGAGUAGUC